Molecule: long non-coding RNA, 2214 nt
Organism: Pocillopora damicornis (cauliflower coral)
Lineage: Eukaryota; Metazoa; Cnidaria; Anthozoa; Scleractinia; Pocilloporidae
Source: RefSeq, a predicted model, not a curated record
GGCGUAUUAUGAAUUUAUAUACCAUUUGUAACCAUGGAGAAAAUGGACGAUCAAGCGUCAGCAACUUUCCUCUGAACAGUCUCUUCUCCUAGGAGUCUAUAUUCUUAUUUGACUAAAAGAGACUUUUUUUAAAGUCAAACAGAUGGAUUUUCCUGUUUUGCGAUGACGAAUCGCUAUUCCUUUUUCCCGAAGCCAAAAUGCAAAACAUGUUUUCCGCUCGACAGCUAGUAAAUUACACGGCGAUGGCGGACGCAACAAGGCAACAGUAAUCUACCAAAGGCAGUUCAAACAUCAAACCUGGAUGACUGAUCAGAGGGAUGAUUAUCAUUGCACAUGCUUCAAACCUUGUGGAUAUUUUUCUUCGACAAUUUCAAUAAGAAGGGCCAACCGCUCAGCCUUUUCUCUCGGCAACCGCCCGAGUCUGAAAUAAACUUCGAAGUCAACACAACUUGGAUUCGAUUGCAAGAACACUGGACAAUCUUAAAGAGUAAUGCUAUGUUAACAAGAUUAAUCGCUGGAAUAAUUCCUUUAUACGGUAAUCGAAGUUUGCUUAAACUAAAUACAAGUGUCUCUACGAAAGGUCCUUAGCACUUGGAACUUUUGUGACUUGGCUAAAUAAGAGGGUUUAAGAAACAAGCAAACCAGCGACAACGACAACAAAAUUGUUGUUUUAAGAAAGACAUGAAAAGGUGACAAAUCUGAAGUUAUCUGGUUGAAGUUCUGAACAUAAACUGACCAAAACCAGUCCAGAACAGUGGGGGAAUGAUUAAGUAUUUAAAUCAGGGAGAUACUAGAGGAUCACGAAAGUUAUAUGUGACCUCUACUCUUUCUUUGUUGCUUUUACGUACUUUGCCAUUUUGAAAUUCUCAGUGAUUCAACUGCGUUAUCAGAGCUUUCCCGAGAACGCUCUACAAAAUGGGGAUCUGAUGAUUUUGGUAGACACUGUUCGUUUGAGGACGUAAGGUAACUAAGAUCAACUUACAAAAGCGCGCAAUUUAAAGUUAAAAUGAGCUACGAACGAUUAAUUCUUCCUAACAAAAGUCUCGCCAUACAUGUACACCUCAGCAAAUUGGCUUAAACAGUAAUGUCGGAAUAAUUCACGGAGGACUGAAAAAUGAAAAGCAAGUGGUUUAUUCAUAUUAAUAACCAUGCAUGGCGCUCCUUUUUCUAUAGAAAUUAUCCACAAGACUUAUGCGGGUAUCUAUCUUCCUGAGCUUAGGGUCACAGUGUUUUUGGUACUAUGAUGAAUUGAAACAAUACAGACUAACAGGUGGACACGCGAGGUUUUGGACGACCGUGAUAAGCUGGUUUGGAAAAAAUUACCAUAAAACUCAUUUAUACGAGAAUCUCAAAGGUGAAUUUAGUUAUGACUCUCUGGAACCACCAAAACAAAAGUAAAUUUCACUGAGCUGUGAACGACUUAUCAUAGGUCAUCGUUAGCCAAGCUGUAGGUGAACCACUGCUUACAAAGAAUGCUUUCUGAUGAUAAUCACUUCACACAUAUGAUGGAAAAAAAAAUGCGUCAAGCUAGGUAAAUGAUAUGGAGAUCAAAUUGGAAAAACUACGAAACAACUCGAAUAAUUCUAAUAUCACCAGCAGCCCUGAAAAAAUUAUUCGCCUGAGGGAGUAAUAAAAGAGAUAAUUGCAACGUUUCCAUUAUUUUGAGAUCAAGACAGAUUAGCGGCCAUAAUGCAGUAUUCUAAUCUCUCGAGUCUCAAUAAGUCAAGGCUGUGACAAUCUACUUCAGAGGUCACACAUCCUUUGCUAAAACUGGCAUAAAAACGCCAAAGUAAAUCACCUAAGUAUGUUUUAUUUAUUUCCUUCCUUGCCUGAUUUAAAGAGUAAACACUUUUUUCAAAUGUGUUUGCUUACCUUAGUCAAAUACAAUACUACAAGUGACAAGUGCAAUUUCCAUAUGCAUCAGUUUUUUUAAGGCUGUCUGUUGCUGCCCACGCACUGCUUUACUUAGUUCGCUCAAUGAACCGCGUAAUUAAACACCUAAAAGUUCGCAAACGUCGGGCAAAUGUCUUUCACGUUAAUUCAUGGAUUAACUUUAGACGUCAACUACGACAGACUUUUUGUCUGGCUACGCACGUGGAAACGUCCACGCAAUUUGUGUAAUAACUCUCGUAAACACAUGUGUUGAGACGCCGAAAACUGCCAAUGAAUAAUAAGCCGACAGUUCCAUUAAAACCAAUUUCUGCUCUUGUUGAA